This is a long non-coding RNA of Octopus bimaculoides (California two-spot octopus), 1564 nucleotides long. RefSeq lists it as uncharacterized. The record is from RefSeq and is a predicted model, not a curated record. NCBI's taxonomy places the organism in Eukaryota, Metazoa, Mollusca, Cephalopoda, Octopoda, Octopodidae.
UGUUGUUCAAAGAAUAACUAUUUUCUCGUCAUUCGUUCAACUUCACGUUACUUAUAGUUUAUGACGUCAGGAAUAGAACGCAGUCAAACGGAGAAAGAGAGAGAAAGAAUAGGUAAAAAUAAAAUAAAAUAAAACGUUUCGAAAGAUUUCUAUUUUAUUCGGCAAACAGAAUGAGUUGAAUUCUAUCAGUUGAUGUUGAGAAAAAAAAACUUGAUUUUAAACGUUAUUAUUUUCUAUAACAGGGUGGGAAAUUUUGUCGGAAACAAAGUUUGGAAAUUGUACGAUUUAGAACUUCGUGAAAUCCCCCGCAGAAGCGCGAAUGUAAGAAACAAAUGAACAAUGGAAGGAUGAAGAAACUUGUGAAUAUUCCAGUAUUUACUCCUGUAAAAUAAAUAUUCGUUCAAAUAAAAUAGAAAAAAAAAGUACAAUAAAUUACUGAAGUAAAAAGCUUAACAGAAAACACUCAAAAAUAUUCUUCAAAAUAUAUUAAUGAAAGAAAAUUGAAGAUGAUUAAUAUGGCAGCCUGGAUAAAGAGUGAUCAGCAUAUGAGCGCUUUAAUCAAGUUGUUGAAACUGGUGUUUGAAUCAUGUAAAAGGUUUUUAUACAGGACCAGUAAGAAACUGUAUUGUUACAGAUACACGAUACCCGCUCUGAGGAUUUUGAAAAGGAAAAGUAAUAGCAGUCUGUCGUCUAUGAUAAUUUGGGAAAACGAGAUAAUGCCCACCGAUGCCAGAGCGGAGAGAAGAAAGUCAAAGCCGUAUACAUUUUGCUGUAGAGCUUCAGGAGAUUGUUCUUGUAACGGGAAAAAUUCCAGCGAUCAGACGAUGGAAUUACGUUCGCCGUUAAUUGCAAAAACGAUGGAGUUGUAUCCGCACGACAUUUGCGAAAGUCCUGCUGUUUCAAAAAUGCAGAAUUCUCAUGUUAUACGAGCUGAUAAUGAAUUUGAGGAAUCGAUAGUGUCUCCUGUAACUGAAGAUUUUUUCAUUUAUGACGAACUCGAUUCAGAAUUUAACCAUAAGUUCACUUUCUUCUAGAACCAUCCUAAUUACAUUCCUUCCUCCAUUUUCUUUCAUACAGAUGUGUCUAUAUUUUUUUCUCCAUUAAACUGAACUAUUAUACAUACUUACACACAAACACAUACAAACACGCGUAGAUAUAUAUAUAUAUAUAUGUACUUGUGUGUGUCUAUGUGUCUGUGUGUAAACACAUGGUGUAUAAAGCGUCAUUAGCUCAAUCAAAAUUUAUCAAUGUUACGUGAAGAUCAAAAUACAAAGAAUUCUCCAUUGAUUUCGCGUUAUGGAUUUCGGAUAUCUUUUAAGGUGGUAUAUGAUGCCCUCUACGGAGGGGCGUGCGGCGACCUUGAGUACAACACAAUCCCCUUACAAACCCCUUAAAACGGGAAAGCAUUAGCUAAAAGUGGUGCAACACUUUGACUUCUCCCUUCUGCUUCCAACGUUCAAAUCCUGACAAAACCAAUUUCAUCUUCCCAGAAUCUGUUUCAUUGAACAUAUCCGUCAAAUAUUGACAAAUCCGUCCUCAUCUUAAAAAAACAAAUCUUGGUUUU